GCUUUGCACCACAUCAAAGGUGUAACCACUGGCAUUCUUGUCUUCUGUUGAGUAAAGAUACAGUACAUCUCUAGGGAUUGCUGUUGAAAUAUUUACUCUGACUGAGGUAGAGUAUCCACACAUUUAUACAACUCCAAUCAUUGGGGGAACCUCUGUGUGACAGCUCUGAUGACAUCAUCUGUACUAAGUCAUCCCUUCAAUGGAAGCAUGUAGAUAACAAGUUAGAAAAAGUCCUCUUCCAGGGCUCUCUUUACAAAAAAUGUUGGGCUAAGCUGUGUUGACUAAAGGAGCUAGCUGAAUGGUGUCUUUAUCAGCUAAAACAACAACACCUGUGCUCUGAUUUGGCAAAAUGGAUGUUAAAAGAUGGGUCACAAAUACUUGUGAGGGUAUAUGUAGCAGUUGUGAGGGGAUAUGGAGAUAUGUUGUGGUAGAAGUAAAGAGUAGUAUCCUGGCUUGCUAAGAAGGCUUUAAUGUUUCACCACUACUAACUACUGGAAACACUGAGAAUAUCUUCAUAUGGGCAAAAUAUAGCUGGCAUCAAAUGUUUCCUUGAAUAUUCCUGUGGAUGGAUCCAUCACACCCACCUUGGUCCUGAACCUCUCUCAUCCCAGCAAUUCCCUCAGCAGAGCCCUUGCAAAGAUCAGCAUUACAUUGGGCAGAGAACAUGGAUAACGUAUGAAGAGCAGUCAAAAUUUUACAGCUCGCUCUGUUUUGUUCAAGCUGAGUUCACACACUUUGCUGUUUACAUUACAAUUGAUCUAGCAGAAAGAUUUAUUUCAGUUCAUGUUCUCAGAGAAAAGAGAAUUAUAAGUGUUUCAAAUGCUUUUUAUACCAGGAAGUACUUAAUAUUUAUCUUUAUGCUAAGUCCAUACUGAAGACAGAACACCUCUAAAUGAUAACCUCUGGGACGUUAAGGGACGCUUCGCUUUAGAUAAGUAUUUGUGAAUGGAUGUUGCACAGGUUCCUUGUAACUUACACUUAACAGACAAGUUCAAAGACCUUCAGUAAGACUGGUUUUGCCAAUUUCUGGCACAAAGGAAAAAAGGAUAUUAUAAUGGUACAGGAUACUGCAGAGCAUCUUAUUAUGUGGCAUUGACUGAGAAUGAACAUAGAUCUGCUGCUACAAAGAGCUACAGUAAAAGCUGGAGACAUGGAAUAUGUCUGAAUUCUUCAGCUUGAGGACAGCUGUAAUUAUAAUGAGCUUACAGAAAUAAUGCUGCA
RNAcentral lists this long non-coding RNA (1221 nucleotides) under Phasianus colchicus (ring-necked pheasant). RNAcentral's name for it is "lncRNA (ENSPCLG00000005674.1)". Lineage: Eukaryota; Metazoa; Chordata; Aves; Galliformes; Phasianidae. The record is from RNAcentral.